GAUAAACGCUGGCGGCGUGCCUAAAACAUGCAAGUCGAACGGGCAUCUGCUUUCGGGUGGGUGUCAGUGGCGAACGGCUGAGGAACGCGUGGGUGACCUGCCGUGUGGUGGGGGAUAGCCUCUCGAAAGAGGGGUAAGACCGCAUGAGCUCGUGAGAGCAAAACCCUUUGGGGUGCCAGGCGAGGGGCCCGCGUCCGAUUAGCUCGUUGGUGGGGUAAGAGCCCACCAAGGCGACGAUCGGAGCUGGUCUGAGAGGAUGAUCAGCCAGACU
Molecule: ribosomal RNA, 271 nt
Filed under: uncultured bacterium
Lineage: Bacteria
Description: partial 16S ribosomal RNA
Rfam family: Bacterial small subunit ribosomal RNA
Source: RNAcentral